CAGAGGGGGCAAGCGUUAUUCGGAAUUAUUGGGCGUAAAGGGCGCGUAGGCGGUCUGGCAAGUGGAAGGUGAAAUCCCUCGGCUUAACCGAGGAACUGCCCUCCAAACUGCUUGGCUUGAGUCCGGGAGAGGUGAGUGGAACUCCCAGUGUAGCGGUGAAAUGCGUAGAUAUUGGGAGGAACACCCGUGGCGAAGGCGGCUCUCUGGGACGGUACUGACGCUGAGACGCGAAAGCGUGGGGAGCGAACAGG
RNAcentral lists this ribosomal RNA (251 nucleotides) under uncultured bacterium. RNAcentral's name for it is "partial 16S ribosomal RNA". It matches the Rfam family "Bacterial small subunit ribosomal RNA", at positions 526 to 776 of the family's 1533-position model. The record is from RNAcentral.